ACCCUACGGGGCGCAGCAGUGGGGAAUAUUGGGCAAUGGAGGAAACUCUUACCCAGCAAUGCCGCGUGAGUGAAGAAGGUCUUCGGAUUGUAAAGCUCCUUGAUUGGGGAUGAAAAAAUGACGGUACCCAAAGAACAAGCCCCGGCUAACUACGUGCCAGCAGCCGCGGUAAUACGUAGGGGGCAAGCGUUAUCCGGAUUUACUGGGUGUCAAGGGGGCGCAGACGGCGAUGCAAGCCAGGAGUGAAAGCCC
This 252-nucleotide ribosomal RNA is filed under the name uncultured bacterium. Its description in RNAcentral is "partial 16S ribosomal RNA". It matches the Rfam family "Bacterial small subunit ribosomal RNA", at positions 335 to 603 of the family's 1533-position model. The record is from RNAcentral.